Amphiprion ocellaris (clown anemonefish) is the source of this 213-nucleotide long non-coding RNA. RefSeq lists it as uncharacterized. The transcript is spliced from 3 exons. The record is from RefSeq and is a predicted model, not a curated record. Lineage: Eukaryota; Metazoa; Chordata; Actinopteri; Pomacentridae.
CAAAAAUCUUCACAGGCUGAAUGGUCGACUGUUGGAGGCGGAGCCAGAUUACAUAAAACACCUGUCAGAGGAAACAGCGAAGCUUCAGAGACUUUAUGGAGGAGGAGACCUGACCAGCUUCCCUCAGUUCACCUUCACUGAUCCUGAAUUGGACCAAGACUCCAAAUGAUCCACCGGAUGCUCUUCAUGCUCCUCCUUUUUUGCUGACUUUUG